GCUUCUCUCAACUUUAUGAAAAACUUAAAAUGUAGGCCAGGUGUGGGGUAGGCUCACACCUGUGAUCCCAGCACUUUGGAAUAGGUGAGGCAAGAGGAUCGCCUGAAGUCGGCGUUUGAGACCUGACUGGGCAACAUAGCAAGGCCCUAUCUCUACAAAAACUAAAAAAACUUAGCUGGGCAUGGUGGUGCACAUCUGUAGUCCUAGCUACUUGGGAAACUGAGGUGGGAGAUCACUUGAGGUGGGAGAUCUUCUUGAACUUCAGAAGUUUGCGGCUGCAGUGAGCUGUGAUCACAUCACUGCACUCCAGCCUGGGUGACAGAGCAAGACCCUGUCUCUUAAAAAGUAGUAAUAAUUACACUUUAUAAUAGCCUCCAGCACUUUGUCAGAUGUACAAUUAAGCAAUCUUUCAUGCUUUGUUAAAAAAAAAAAGACAUUUAU
Long non-coding RNA from Symphalangus syndactylus (siamang), 441 nucleotides. RefSeq lists it as uncharacterized. The record is from RefSeq and is a predicted model, not a curated record. Lineage: Eukaryota; Metazoa; Chordata; Mammalia; Primates; Hylobatidae.